This 75-nucleotide transfer RNA is filed under the name Methanobacteriota archaeon. RNAcentral's name for it is "Euryarchaeota archaeon tRNA-Gly". It matches the Rfam family "tRNA". From Rfam's summary of the family: Transfer RNA (tRNA) molecules are approximately 80 nucleotides in length. Lineage: Archaea; Methanobacteriati; Methanobacteriota. The record is from RNAcentral. RNAcentral also lists the same sequence under 2 other names.
GCGAGCGUAGUGUAGUGGUUAUCACCCCACGUUGCCAACGUGGGAACCCGGGUUCGAGUCCCGGCGCUCGCACCA